UUUUACUCUUUACAAAUGUAUUCUUAUUAGUUUGAAUCUUUCUUUGAAUGCAAGAAUAGGCUUUAUGUCCACUUUUCCCACAAUAAAAGCAUGUAGGUUUUUCAGUUUUGACAUCUUUUGCUUUUACAAAAAAGUUCUUUAGAUAUUUUUGUUGUUUGCUAGUUUUGUAUCCUAAUCCGGCUUUAUUAAAAACAGCUCUUUGAUUGGAUAGAAUAAGAUUUAAUUUUUCAGAGCUAUGUGUAAAUUU
Molecule: long non-coding RNA, 247 nt
Filed under: Phoenix dactylifera (date palm)
Lineage: Eukaryota; Viridiplantae; Streptophyta; Magnoliopsida; Arecales; Arecaceae
Description: long non-coding RNA (PDAC_LNC010907)
Source: RNAcentral